Non-coding RNA from Triticum urartu, 566 nucleotides. The record is from RefSeq and is a predicted model, not a curated record. NCBI's taxonomy places the organism in Eukaryota, Viridiplantae, Streptophyta, Magnoliopsida, Poales, Poaceae.
AUGACGUCUCAUCCUGCUCCUAGCCGGCGACGGUGGAUCAACGCCUAUUCUAAUUUAACCUAUUCUAAUUUAAUCCUCCUCUCUUCUUCUUGUAGGGCAACCUGUUCUUCUCGAUGGUGCUCCAGCAACUGCAUAAUUCAGGCUGGAGGUGAUGGAGGGCACUGUACAAGAGGACAUGUGUAUGGGAACAACAAUACACCAGGUAAUGUUGUUGGCGAUGGUCAAUUGAUUUGAGCAUAUUUGGAGACUGGUAGGCGCGCGGCUGUACUGCCCGAGUCACCACCUGAGAGAGGAUCCCAGAGGAGAUGGGCAGAUGCUCCAGAGGAUUUUGUACAUAGAGCAACUUCCUCUUCAUCUAGCUGAUCUUUUCUCGAAAACUUGAGCGACUGGACUUAUGCACUUGUCCCUUAGAGUCAAUGGCCAUAGCCUCUUGCGUAUUCAGGCCCACUCUUCUUUCACCCAAUAUGUCUAUUUCCAAAUAUUCACGCCCUUGGUUCUCUCCCAUCUGACCUGUGACUAAAACUAAAAUUAAUAUGUGCAACUAACAAUGAGGCAUCUCAUGAGAA